RNAcentral lists this ribosomal RNA (433 nucleotides) under uncultured bacterium. Its description in RNAcentral is "partial 16S ribosomal RNA". It matches the Rfam family "Bacterial small subunit ribosomal RNA", at positions 29 to 507 of the family's 1533-position model. The record is from RNAcentral.
AACGAACGCUGGCGGCAUGCCUAACACAUGCAAGUCGAACGAGACCUUCGGGUCUAGUGGCGCGCGGGUGCGUAACGCGUGGGAAUCUGCCCUUCGGUUGGGAAUAACUGAGAGAAAUUUCAGCUAAUACCUUAUAAUGUCUUCGGACCAAAGAUUUAUCGCCGAGGGAUGAGCCCGCGUAGGAUUAGGUAGUUGGUGGGGUAAUGGCCUACCAAGCCGACGAUCCUUAGCUGGUCUGAGAGGAUGAUCAGCCACACUGGGACUGAGACACGGCCCAGACUCCUACGGGAGGCAGCAGUGGGGAAUAUUGGACAAUGGGCGAAAGCCUGAUCCAGCAAUGCCGCGUGAGUGAUGAAGGCCUUAGGGUUGUAAAGCUCUUUUACCCGGGAUGAUAAUGACAGUACCGGGAGAAUAAGCUCCGGCUAACUCCGUG